Molecule: ribosomal RNA, 465 nt
Filed under: uncultured bacterium
Lineage: Bacteria
Description: partial 16S ribosomal RNA
Rfam family: Bacterial small subunit ribosomal RNA
Source: RNAcentral
CCUACGGGUGGCAGCAGUGGGGAAUAUUGCGCAAUGGGCGAAAGCCUGACACAGCGACGCCGCGUGAGGGAUGAAGGUCUUCGGAUCGUAAACCUCUGUCAGCAGGGAAGAACGGUCACUGUGCUAAUCAGCAGUGAAUUGACGGUACCUGCAAAGGAAGCACCGGCUAACUCCGUGCCAGCAGCCGCGGUAAUACGGAGGGUGCGAGCGUUAAUCGGAAUUACUGGGCGUAAAGCGCUCGUAGGCGGUAUGUAAGGUCAAGGGUGAAAUCCCCGCGCACAACGUGGGAACUGCCUUUGAAUCUGGCAAACUGGAGUGUGUAGGAGGAUAGUGGAAUUCCAGGUGUAGGAGUGAACUCCGUAGAUAUCUGUGGGAACAUCAGUGGCGAAGGCGACUAUCUGGCACAUAACUGACGCUGAGGAGCGAAAGCGUGGGUAGCAAACAGGAUUAGAUACCCUUGUAGUC